This 378-nucleotide unclassified non-coding RNA is filed under the name uncultured Pseudomonadota bacterium. Its description in RNAcentral is "uncultured proteobacterium contains 16S-23S intergenic spacer region". The record is from RNAcentral. Lineage: Bacteria; Pseudomonadati; Pseudomonadota.
UCCGGUUUGUCACCGGCAGUAUUGCUAAAGUGCCCACCAUAACGUGCUGGCAACUAACAAAAAGGGUUUCGUUCGUUGCGGGACUUAACCCAACAUCUCACGACACGAACUGACGACAGCCAUGCAGCACCUGUGCGGACUCCAACUAAAUGACCCUUAACUUUCGAAAAGGUAUAAGUCCCAUGCAAAGGUUGGUAAGGUUCUUCGCGUAGCCUCGAAUUAAACCACAUACUCCACCGCUUGUGCGGAUCCCCGUCAAUUCCUUUGAGUUUUAAUCUUGCGACCGUACUCCCCAGGCGGAAUGCUUAUCGCGUUAGCUUUGAUACUGAUAACCGAGGUUACCAACAUCGAGCAUUCAUCGUUUACGGCGUGGACUAC